CCAGCAGCUGCGGUAAUUCCAGCUCCAAUGGCAUAUGUUAGAGUUGUUGCAGUUAAAAGGCUCGUAGUCGGAUUUCUGCAGAGGAUGGCCGGUCCGCCCAUGGGGUGAGCAUCUGGUGCACCCUAAGCAUAUUUCCUAAAUGUGCAACUGCACUUGGCUGUGUGGUGCAGAUUUGGGGGCUUUUACUUUGAGGAAAUGAGAGUGUUCAAAGCAAGUAUUUGCUGUGUAUACAGAAGCAUGGAAUAAUUGUUGUGUCUGGACUUCAAUUUGUUGGUUUCUGGAGCUGGAAAGGUGAAACAGGGAUGGCUGGGGACGUUGGUAUUUGACUGUCAGAGGUGAAAUUCUUGAAUUUGUCAAGGAUGGACCACUGCAAAAGCAUUUGUCAAGGAUGUUUUCAUUGAUCAAGAACGAAAGU
RNAcentral lists this ribosomal RNA (415 nucleotides) under Gambierdiscus carpenteri. RNAcentral's name for it is "SSU rRNA". It matches the Rfam family "Eukaryotic small subunit ribosomal RNA", at positions 567 to 990 of the family's 1831-position model. The record is from RNAcentral. Lineage: Eukaryota; Dinophyceae; Gonyaulacales; Pyrocystaceae.